Molecule: long non-coding RNA, 232 nt
Filed under: Phoenix dactylifera (date palm)
Lineage: Eukaryota; Viridiplantae; Streptophyta; Magnoliopsida; Arecales; Arecaceae
Description: long non-coding RNA (PDAC_LNC012015)
Source: RNAcentral
UCGCGGUAGACCGCGAUCCGACCUGGGGGCGGCUGCGUCACCCUGUCCUCCGGCCCCGCAGUUUCAAGACGAAACCCGGGCUGGAAGAAGAACCGGGAGCGGAUCAGCUCCAACUCCUCCCCCGACAGGCUCGAUCCCACUUCCUCAGGACCCAAACCCAUUCCCACAGAAGAACGAAAUAAAAGUUAAAAAAAGCGGAAAAUGGAAGCUGGGGAGGAGAAGAAAAGAGGAA